GAAGUAGCAAUACUUAGUGGCAGACGGGUGAGUAACAUGUAGGCAUCUGCCCUUUGGCCUGGAAUAACACGAGGAAACUUGUGCUAAUACCGGAUAAGUCUUUACGGAGAAAGCUUUAUGCACCAUUGGAUGAGCCUGCACUAGAUUAGCUUGUUGGUGGGGUAAUGGCCUACCAAGACUGUGAUCUAUAGCUGAUUUGAGAGGAUGAUCAGCCACAUUGGGACUGAGACACGGCCCAAACUCCUACGGGAGGCAGCAGUGGGGAAUCUUGCACAAUGGAGGAAACUCUGAUGCAGCGAUGCCGCGUGAGUGAAGAAGGCCUUUGGGUUGUAAAGCUCUUUCGUCGGGGAAGAAAAUGACUGUACCCGAAUAAGAAGGUCCGGCUAACUUCGUGCCAGCCGCCGCGGUAAUUC
This 413-nucleotide ribosomal RNA is filed under the name uncultured bacterium. RNAcentral's name for it is "bacterial SSU rRNA". It matches the Rfam family "Bacterial small subunit ribosomal RNA", at positions 72 to 526 of the family's 1533-position model. The record is from RNAcentral.